GCCGUAUCUCAGUGGUAAGAGCAUCAGCCUUGCACGCAGAAUGUCUCAGGUUCAAUCCCUGGAAUCUCCA
This is a non-coding RNA of Podarcis lilfordi (Lilford's wall lizard), 70 nucleotides long. The record is from the annotation of a GenBank genome assembly. NCBI's taxonomy places the organism in Eukaryota, Metazoa, Chordata, Lepidosauria, Squamata, Lacertidae.